This 142-nucleotide small nucleolar RNA is filed under the name Catagonus wagneri (Chacoan peccary). RNAcentral's name for it is "Small nucleolar RNA SNORA40 (ENSCWAG00000012299.1)". It matches the Rfam family "Small nucleolar RNA SNORA40", at positions 26 to 128 of the family's 128-position model. Rfam says of the family: The snoRNA ACA 40 belongs to the H/ACA family of snoRNAs and guides the pseudouridylation of 28S rRNA subunit at position U4565. Lineage: Eukaryota; Metazoa; Chordata; Mammalia; Artiodactyla; Tayassuidae. The record is from Rfam by way of RNAcentral.
UGCAUGCUGUGGGUGUGCCCCCCACCCGAAAAGAAAAAGGGACUAAAUUUGUGGACAAAGACUUAUAGACAGGUGCAAAAGUAAAUCCUCUUUUGCAACCCAGAGCACAGUAUGAGCUUUGGUAUAGAUAAGAAGGAACAUG